UACGUAGGGUGCAAGCGUUAAUCGGAAUUACUGGGCGUAAAGCGUGCGCAGGCGGUUAUGUAAGACAGGUGUGAAAUCCCCGGGCUCAACCUGGGAACUGCAUUUGUGACUGCAUAGCUAGAGUACGGUAGAGGGGGAUGGAAUUCCGCGUGUAGCAGUGAAAUGCGUAGAUAUGCGGAGGAACACCGAUGGCGAAGGCAAUCCCCUGGACCUGUACUGACGCUCAUGCACGAAAGCGUGGGGGAGCAAACGGG
This 254-nucleotide ribosomal RNA is filed under the name uncultured bacterium. RNAcentral describes it as "partial 16S ribosomal RNA". It matches the Rfam family "Bacterial small subunit ribosomal RNA", at positions 524 to 776 of the family's 1533-position model. The record is from RNAcentral.